UAUGCGAUACUGGUGUGAAUUGCAGAAUUCAGUGAAUCAUCGAGUCUUUGAACGCACAUUGCGCCCCCUGGUAUUCCGGGGGGCAUGCCUGUCCGAGCGUCAUUGCUGCCCUCAAGCCCGGCUUGUGUGUUGGGUCGCCGUCCCCCUCUCCGGGGGGACGGGCCCGAAAGGCAGCGGCGGCACCGCGUCCGAUCCUCGAGCGUAUGGGGCUUUGUCACAUGCUCUGUAGGAUUGGCCGGCGCCUGCCGACGUUUUCCAACCAUUCUUUCCAGGUUGACCUCGGAUCAGGUAGGGAUACCCGCUGAACUUAAGCAUAUCAAUAAGCGGAGG
Molecule: ribosomal RNA, 330 nt
Filed under: Aspergillus sp. BAB-3920
Lineage: Eukaryota; Fungi; Ascomycota; Eurotiomycetes; Eurotiales; Aspergillaceae
Description: eukaryotic LSU rRNA
Rfam family: 5.8S ribosomal RNA (bases 1-102)
Source: RNAcentral